GAUGAAGAACGCAGCGAAAUGCGAUAAGUAAUGUGAAUUGCAGAAUUCAGUGAAUCAUCGAAUCUUUGAACGCACCUUGCGCCCUUUGGCCAUUCCGAAGGGCAUGCCUGUUUGAGUAUCAUGAACACCUCAACUCUCAUGGCUUGCCCAUGAUGAGCUUGGACUUUGGGGGUCUUGCUGGCCUGCGGCCAGCUCCUCUCAAAUGAAUUAGCUUUCCAGUGUUUGGUUGGCAUCACAGGUGUGAUAACUAUCUACGCUUGUGGUUUCCACCAGGUAACCUUCAGUAACAUGGGGGUUUGCUGGAGCUCAUAAAUGUCUCUCCUCAGUGGGGACAGCUCUUUGAACGUUUGAUCUCAAAUCAGGUAGGACUACCCGCUGAACUUAAGCAUAUCAAUAAGCGGAGGA
RNAcentral lists this unclassified non-coding RNA (405 nucleotides) under soil metagenome. Its description in RNAcentral is "partial contains 5.8S ribosomal RNA, internal transcribed spacer 2, and large subunit ribosomal RNA". The stretch from base 1 to 121 matches the Rfam family "5.8S ribosomal RNA", at positions 35 to 154 of the family's 154-position model. The record is from RNAcentral.